GGUUAAGUUAGAAAGGGCGCACGGUGGAUGCCUUGGCACUAGGAGCCGAAGAAGGACGGGACUAACACCGAUAUGCUUUGGGGAGCUGUACGUAAGCGUUGAUCCAGAGAUUUCCGAAUGGGGGAACCCACUAUCUUUAGUCGGAUAGUAUCCUUACGUGAAUACAUAGCGUGAGGAAGGCAGACCCAGGGAACUGAAACAUCUAAGUACCUGGAGGAAGAGAAAGAAAAAUCGAUUUCCUGAGUAGCGGCGAGCGAAACGGAAAGAGCCCAAACCAAGAAGCUUGCUUCUUGGGGUUGUAGGACACUCUAUACGGAGUUACAAAAGAAAGUUAUAAAUGAAGCGGUCUGGAAAGGCCCGCCAAAGACGGUAACAGCCCGGUAGUUGAAAUGGCUUUCCCUCCAGAGUGGAUCCUGAGUACGGCGGAACACGUGAAAUUCCGUCGGAAUCCGGGAGGACCAUCUCCCAAGGCUAAAUACUCCCUAGUGACCGAUAGUGAACCAGUACCGUGAGGGAAAGGUGAAAAGCACCCCGGAAGGGGAGUGAAACAGUUCCUGAAACCGUGUGCCUACAAGUAGUUAGAGCCCGUUAAUGGGUGAUAGCGUGCCUUUUGUAGAAUGAACCGGCGAGUUACGAUUUGUUGCAAGGUUAAGCGGAAAAAGCGGAGCCGUAGCGAAAGCGAGUCUGAAUAGGGCGCAUAAGUAACAGGUCGUAGACCCGAAACCAGGUGAUCUACCCAUGUCCAGGAUGAAGGUAAGGUAAUACUUACUGGAGGUCCGAACCCACGCACGUUGAAAAGUGCGGGGAUGAGGUGUGGGUAGCGGAGAAAUUCCAAUCGAACUUGGAGAUAGCUGGUUCUCUCCGAAAUAGCUUUAGGGCUAGCCUCGAGGUAAAGAGUCAUGGAGGUAGAGCACUGUUUGGACUAGGGGCCCUUCUCGGGUUACCGAAUUCAGAUAAACUCCGAAUGCCAUGUACUUAUACUCGGGAGUCAGACUGCGAGUGAUAAGAUCCGUAGUCGAAAGGGAAACAGCCCAGACCACCAGUUAAGGUCCCCAAAUAUAUGUUAAGUGGAAAAGGAUGUGGGGUUGCUUAGACAACCAGGAUGUUGGCUUAGAAGCAGCCACCAUUGAAAGAGUGCGUAAUAGCUCACUGGUCGAGUGACCCCGCGCCGAAAAUGUACCGGGGCUAAACAUAUUACCGAAACUGUGGAUGAACCUCUUUAGAGGUUCGUGGUAGGAGAGCGUUCUAAGGGCGGUGAAGUCAGACCGGAAGGACUGGUGGAGCGCUUAGAAGUGAGAAUGCCGGUAUGAGUAGCGAAAGAAGGGUGAGAAUCCCUUCCACCGAAUAUCUAAGGUUUCCUGAGGAAGGCUCGUCCGCUCAGGGUUAGUCGGGACCUAAGCCGAGGCCGAUAGGCGUAGGCGAUGGACAACAGGUAGAGAUUCCUGUACCAGUGCUAAUUGUUUAACCGAUGGGGUGACACAGAAGGAUAGGGAAUCGCACGAAUGGAAAUGUGCGUCCAAGCAGUGAGUGUGAGAAGUAGGCAAAUCCGCUUCUCUNNNNNNNNNNNNNNNNNNNNNNNNNNNNNNNNNNNNNNNNNNNNNNNNNNNNNNNNNNNNNNNNNNNNNNNNNNNNNNNNNNNNNNNNNNNNNNNNNCACGAAGCAUGAGCUGUGAUGGGGAAGGAAAUUAAGUACGGAAGUUCCUGAUUUCACGCUGUCAAGAAAAGCCUCUAGGAAGAGUAGUACUGCCCGUACCGCAAACCGACACAGGUAGAUGAGGAGAGAAUCCUAAGGUGAGCGAGAGAACUCUCGUUAAGGAACUCGGCAAAAUGACCCCGUAACUUCGGGAGAAGGGGUGCUCUAUUAGGGUGCAAGCCCGAGAGAGCCGCAGUGAAUAGGCCCAGGCGACUGUUUAGCAAAAACACAGGUCUCUGCAAAACCGUAAGGUGACGUAUAGGGGCUGACGCCUGCCCGGUGCUGGAAGGUUAAGAGGAGUGCUUAGCUUCGGCGAAGGUACGAAUUGAAGCCCCAGUAAACGGCGGCCGUAACUAUAACGGUCCUAAGGUAGCGAAAUUCCUUGUCGGGUAAGUUCCGACCCGCACGAAAGGCGCAACGAUCUGGGCACUGUCUCAACGAGAGACUCGGUGAAAUUAUAGUACCUGUGAAGAUGCAGGUUACCCGCGACAGGACGGAAAGACCCCGUGGAGCUUUACUGCAACCUGAUAUGGAAUGUUUGUACCGCUUGUACAGGAUAGGUAGGAGCCGAAGAGACGUGUGCGCUAGCAUACGAGGAGGCAAUGGUGGGAUACUACCCUGGCUGUAUGACCAUUCUAACCCGCCACGCUUAGCGCGUGGGGAGACAGUGUCAGGUGGGCAGUUUGACUGGGGCGGUCGCCUCCUAAAGAGUAACGGAGGCGCCCAAAGGUUCCCUCAGAAUGGAUGGAAAUCAUUCGCAGAGUGUAAAGGCACAAGGGAGCUUGACUGCGAGACUGACAAGUCGAGCAGGGACGAAAGUCGGGCUUAGUGAUCCGGUGGUUCCGCAUGGAAGGGCCAUCGCUCAACGGAUAAAAGCUACCCCGGGGAUAACAGGCUUAUCUCCCCCAAGAGUCCACAUCGACGGGGAGGUUUGGCACCUCGAUGUCGGCUCGUCGCAUCCUGGGGCUGUAGUCGGUCCCAAGGGUUGGGCUGUUCGCCCAUUAAAGCGGCACGCGAGCUGGGUUCAGAACGUCGUGAGACAGUUCGGUCCCUAUCCGUCGCGGGCGCAGGAAAUUUGAGAGGAGCUGUCCUUAGUACGAGAGGACCGGGAUGGACACACCGCUGGUGUACCAGUUGUUCCGCCAGGAGCAUCGCUGGGUAGCUAUGUGUGGCAGGGAUAAACGCUGAAAGCAUCUAAGCGUGAAGCCCCCCUCAAGAUGAGAUUUCCCAUUUCUUCGGAAAGUAAGAUCCCUGAAAGAUGAUCAGGUAGAUAGGUUUGGAGUGGAAGUGUAGCGAUACAUGGAGCGGACAAAUACUAAUCGAUCGAGGACUUAACCAA
RNAcentral lists this ribosomal RNA (3031 nucleotides) under Listeria monocytogenes. RNAcentral describes it as "23S ribosomal RNA". It matches the Rfam family "Bacterial large subunit ribosomal RNA". Lineage: Bacteria; Bacillati; Bacillota; Bacilli; Caryophanales; Listeriaceae. The record is from RNAcentral.